GGUUAAGCGACUAAGCGUACACGGUGGAUGCCCUGGCAGUCAGAGGCGAUGAAGGACGUGCUAAUCUGCGAUAAGCGUCGGUAAGGUGAUAUGAACCGUUAUAACCGGCGAUUUCCGAAUGGGGAAACCCAGUGUGUUUCGACACACUAUCAUUAACUGAAUCCAUAGGUU
Molecule: ribosomal RNA, 171 nt
Filed under: Escherichia coli
Lineage: Bacteria; Pseudomonadati; Pseudomonadota; Gammaproteobacteria; Enterobacterales; Enterobacteriaceae
Also listed under: 2 other names
Description: partial 23S ribosomal RNA
Rfam family: Bacterial large subunit ribosomal RNA
Source: RNAcentral